RNAcentral lists this ribosomal RNA (163 nucleotides) under Tribolium purpureum. Its description in RNAcentral is "5.8S ribosomal RNA". It matches the Rfam family "5.8S ribosomal RNA". From Rfam's summary of the family: 5.8S ribosomal RNA (5.8S rRNA) is a component of the large subunit of the eukaryotic ribosome. It is transcribed by RNA polymerase I as part of the 45S precursor that also contains 18S and 28S rRNA. The record is from RNAcentral. Lineage: Eukaryota; Viridiplantae; Streptophyta; Magnoliopsida; Poales; Poaceae.
CACACGACUCUCGGCAACGGAUAUCUCGGCUCUCGCAUCGAUGAAGAACGCAGCAAAAUGCGAUACCUGGUGUGAAUUGCAGAAUCCCGCGAACCAUCGAGUUUUUGAACGCAAGUUGCGCCCGAGGCCUUCUGGUCGAGGGCACUCCUGCCUGGGCGUCACG